Salarias fasciatus (jewelled blenny) is the source of this 867-nucleotide long non-coding RNA. RefSeq lists it as uncharacterized. The transcript has 2 exons. The record is from RefSeq and is a predicted model, not a curated record. Lineage: Eukaryota; Metazoa; Chordata; Actinopteri; Blenniiformes; Blenniidae.
GAAGAAUCAGUGCGUGUCGGUGGAGCGGAGUCCAUGGCUUCAGCUUCUUUGGUCUGCUGCCCUGGAUUUUCUGACCCAGAUCCACUGCUCGUGUCUGCGGCAGCAUUCAUCUUCAUCGCCGCGGCCAGCAGCAGAAGCACAAACACUGCCGAUUUCCUCAUUGCUGUCCCUUUCUGUGGAUUGUGUCUCACCGAGUCCGACAGAAACCAAACUGCAGGGUGCAGAGACUGAAAAAACACCACUCCUAUUGAAAAGCUUUUCAAGCUUUCCACUCCCCCUCCGGCUUGUCACUGCAGGCUGCAUGAAUACCUGUCUGAUUUAGUGAUUGUGUUCAAAGUCCUGUAAUCACAUGUGACCUCUGUCCUCAAUACCUUGUGCAGGCCAUUGAUAAGUGUUGUUCACUCACUGAAAUUGAACAGAAAUGAAAACAAAGGGCAUAAAUACACAGAUAACGUGUAAUGCUGGGAGGAACCUUCAAAAAUUCCCUCCAGAAGUGACAAUUGAAUAUAUUUUUUUUUAAUUUGUCACAGGAAACUCUGCAGCGGCUGCUUGGUUGUGGAAAAACCUGUUUGGGCUCCCAUGUCACUGCGUUGAGAGGAUUUAGCUCCGGUUUGUGCUGGAAGCUGUCAAUCAGAUCUGGCAACCCUCGACUUCCGCGACGUCACUACGUCAGCACGUAAACGCGGGAAUUUGAGCGCGAGCCCAACACAGUGAAAUAUGAAGGUUUAAAAACGACCCAAGUGGCUGCUUGGCUUCUUCCCCGGUGGCUUUAGCGCGAACCGGAGCGCCGCGUUAAAGUUGUGGCGGCGAGACAACCGAUCCGACGCAUUUGAGUAUUGUCUGAAGUAAAAAAAAAAAAAAAAAAAA